UGGGCAGAUUAUUGUAUUCGACUGUAUUCACGGCGUGAAAUAAGGGAUUACACUGUUUUAAAUGGAAGUGAACCAAUUAAAUAGACUCCU
Molecule: microRNA precursor, 90 nt
Filed under: Nicotiana sylvestris (wood tobacco)
Lineage: Eukaryota; Viridiplantae; Streptophyta; Magnoliopsida; Solanales; Solanaceae
Description: MIR6152 microRNA precursor family
Rfam family: MIR6152 microRNA precursor family
Source: Rfam by way of RNAcentral